RNAcentral lists this transfer RNA (62 nucleotides) under Ictidomys tridecemlineatus (thirteen-lined ground squirrel). Its description in RNAcentral is "Spermophilus tridecemlineatus (thirteen-lined ground squirrel) tRNA". It matches the Rfam family "tRNA", at positions 1 to 62 of the family's 71-position model. Rfam says of the family: Transfer RNA (tRNA) molecules are approximately 80 nucleotides in length. Their secondary structure includes four short double-helical elements and three loops (D, anti-codon, and T loops). Lineage: Eukaryota; Metazoa; Chordata; Mammalia; Rodentia; Sciuridae. The record is from Rfam by way of RNAcentral.
GGGACUGUAGCUCAGUGGCAGAGCACUUGCCUAGCAUGUAUGAGGCACUGGGUUCAAUCCCA